Molecule: long non-coding RNA, 1993 nt
Filed under: Pan troglodytes (chimpanzee)
Lineage: Eukaryota; Metazoa; Chordata; Mammalia; Primates; Hominidae
Description: lincRNA
Source: RNAcentral
CUUCUCGUCUGUCGCCAUGUGAGAUGUACCUUUCACUUUCCUCCAUGAUUGUGAGGCCUCCUUAGCCACAUGGAACUAAGUGGGAACAGAGGCCUAUGGGAGUAGUUGACUUGUCCAAAGACUCAGAGCUAGUGACUGAUGAAGUUGGGACUCAAAUCCUACAUUCUACCUCUUAAACCAGGAAACUUCCCUCUACACCCCACUGCUUCUGAAGAGAAAUGCUGGAGUCCUUCAUCAGAAUGGUAAAUGGCACUUGUGACAAAAAUCAAAGUAACUAAAAAAGAAUCUGGUUGAAAUCUCAGUAACAAUUGGCCUGUCUACUGCCUCACACUAACAAGGGGGAGCUAAUAAAACCGAGGUCAGAACACACAAUGUGGAAAUGAAAACCUUAUUCUUGUCAAUGGAUGGAGGUGACCCCCACCUUUACAAGUGUCUGUAAUUCUCACUAGCAGUAUAUUAGAGGGCAAAAGAUUUGAACAGACACAUCAGAAAAGAAGACAUACAAAUGGCUGCUAAGCACUUGAAAGGAUUCUGAACACCAUUAGUCAUCAGUGAAAUGCAAAUUAAAGCCAUAAUGAAUGGCGCUAUACAUUUUCAGAAUGGCAAGGAAUGAAGACUGAAAAAAAUCAAGCGUUGAGGAGAGUGACAAAUGGGGAGACAGCCGUGGUGCAUGAUGGCCGGAGAAAUACCAUGUGAGGAUACAGCAAGAAGGUGGCCAUCUACAAGCCAAGGAGACAGGCCUCAGAAGAAACCAACCCUUCUUACACCCUGGACUCAGACUUCUAAUCUCCAGAACUUGUUAAUGCACAAGGUCUUGUGUUGAAAAUGUAGAGCCACGAGAUAAAAGCAGCUUGGAUGGCUGACUCAUAUACAAGGGCAACUGCCUGAGAGUCACCAGGACUAUCAAGAAGUUUGCAGAAACAAGAAAUAAACUUUUACUGUUUUAAACUUUUGUGAAUUUUGGGUUUUGUUUAUCACCAAAUAAACCUAGUCUAUUCUGAUUGUUAUAAGUGGUUAAUUUGGGAAGUCAGAUAUAUUUAAAAUUGGCUUACUGCUGUAACAUAUACAGUCCAAAUUACAUAAUGGCUCCAAUGCAAUAGAAGUCUUUGUUUUUUUUUGCUCACAUAUCACUUCAUUGAGAUUCUGCAUUAAUUGUAAUGAGGAGGGUGGGGGUGUCUUAUAUCAUACAGUUGUUCAGCAACCCAGGAUGACCAACUUUGUAAUAUUUUUUCCCACUGGCUUCUAAAGUUCUCAUAGAUAGUAAAAUUCAUUUGGAAGAAGGAGAAACAGCAUGGAGGAUUGCAGAUGGAGAUUUUUAUGGGAAGGCUUGGAGGUUUGGAGGUUGCACAUUACUACUUUUACUUGUUGGCUAGGAAACUAUCAUGUGGUCACACCUAAGUGCCAGUGAGUCUGACAAUGUGGCAAUUUGGUUGCGGGCCAGGGGUAAGAGGCAAUAAAUUUUGCUCAAUAAUUAUCAGUUUUUGCCACAGAUGGAGGGACUUUUCAUUGUAUAACUAGUUGUUACUGUUUGAAUUUAAAACAGGAAAAUAUCAUUUUCAAAUAAAAACACAAAAGUGGCACAAAAAAUUCUUAUGAUUUUUUUUGCUUGAAUUUUGUGCAUUUAUUUGGCUAUUAUUAAAGUAAAUAAUUCUCUUUAUAGAAAAUGUAGAAAAUAACAAAAAAUAAAUAAGCAGAAAGUCAUCCAAUAACCCCCAUGAUCCCAGCAUAAUAAUCUUUUUUAAGGUAACUGAAAUGACCAUCCUUCUUUUACAAUUGCAAACGCUAACACCCAGGGAUUUUAAGAAAUUUGUCAACUCUAGUAAGUGGUAGAGCACAGAGAAAAGAAAAGCCAGGGAAGCUUUUACAGAGCAGGAGACAAGGAUAGAAAAGGACUUACGAAUGGGGAAACACAAUUGACAAAUUAUUUUAAAAUUUUGCAGGUUUAAUCGCAUGGAGAGAGAGAGCAUAGAACACGAGAAAUAUACCAAAGCAA